Molecule: ribosomal RNA, 429 nt
Filed under: Acidobacteriota bacterium
Lineage: Bacteria; Pseudomonadati; Acidobacteriota
Description: Acidobacteria bacterium partial 16S ribosomal RNA
Rfam family: Bacterial small subunit ribosomal RNA
Source: RNAcentral
UGGGGAAUUUUGGACAAUGGGGGAAACCCUGAACCAGCCAUCCCGCGUGUGCGAUGAAGGCCUUCGGGUUGUAAAGCACAUUUGGCAGGAAAGAAACGUCAUGGGUUAAUACCCCGUGAAACUGACGGUACCUGCAGAAUAAGCACCGGCUAACUACGUGCCAGCAGCCGCGGUAAUACGUAGGGUGCAAGCUUUAAUCGGAAUUACUGGGCGUAAAGCGUGCGCAGGCGGUUCGGAAAGAAAGAUGUGAAAUCCCUGAGCUCAACUUUGGAACUGCAUUUUUAACUACCCGGCUAACGUGUGUCAAAGGGAGGUGGAGUUCCGCUUGUAGCAGUGAAAUGCGUAGUUAUGCGGAGGGACACCGAUGCCGCAGGCAACCUCCUGGGGUAACACUGACGCUCAUGCACGAAAGCGUGGGGAGCAAACAGG